GAUGAACGCUGGCGGCGUGCCUAAUACAUGCAAGUCGAGCGAACAGACGAGGAGCUUGCUCCUUUGACGUUAGCGGCGGACGGGUGAGUAACACGUAGAUAACCUACCUAUAAGACUGGGAUAACUUCGGGAAACCGGAGCUAAUACCGGAUAAUAUUUCGAACCGCAUGGUUCGAUAGUGAAAGAUGGCUUUGCCAUCACUUAUAGAUGGACCUGCGCCGUAUUAGCUAGUUGGUAAGGUAACGGCUUACCAAGGCAACGAUACGUAGCCGACCUGAGAGGGUGAUCGGCCACACUGGAACUGAGACACGGUCCAGACUCCUACGGGAGGCAGCAGUAGGGAAUCUUCCGCAAUGGGCGAAAGCCUGACGGAGCAACGCCGCGUGAGUGAUGAAGGUCUUCGGAUCGUAAAACUCUGUUAUUAGGGAAGAACAAACGUGUAAGUAACUGUGCACGUCUUGACGGUACCUAAUCAGAAAGCCACGGCUAACUACGUG
Molecule: ribosomal RNA, 497 nt
Filed under: uncultured bacterium
Lineage: Bacteria
Description: partial 16S ribosomal RNA
Rfam family: Bacterial small subunit ribosomal RNA
Source: RNAcentral